Zingiber officinale is the source of this 341-nucleotide long non-coding RNA. RefSeq lists it as uncharacterized. The record is from RefSeq and is a predicted model, not a curated record. The transcript is spliced from 4 exons. NCBI's taxonomy places the organism in Eukaryota, Viridiplantae, Streptophyta, Magnoliopsida, Zingiberales, Zingiberaceae.
CUCCAUAAGUUGUAUUUGACACAAUCAGUCAUUGGCAUAACUUUACCAUAAUUGUUUUUGUCUCGUCAAGUACCAAUCAACAACUUCUGCAAUAGAUAUGACAAGUUCUGCCCAUUCUACAAAUUAGUUUGGAUGAUGCGUAACAUUAUUCACUUCAACACUUUGGCGAAUCAGGCCGUCGAGAGAGGAGCAGGUUCUGAUGGUCAAAAGAUCACUUAUAACAUCAUCAAGCAUUGAUUAGGUGACCUCUUCUAUCGAUUAGUGUCCCAAAAGUUUGAAGACCUUGCCGAAGGUGCAACAACUUGAAAGACACAAAGAUAUUGAUAAACACAUGAACCAUC